Molecule: ribosomal RNA, 94 nt
Filed under: Paramormyrops kingsleyae
Lineage: Eukaryota; Metazoa; Chordata; Actinopteri; Osteoglossiformes; Mormyridae
Source: RNAcentral
GUCAGCAGCCACACCGCCUGCAGCUCAGACUAGGUUUGGGCAUGGCCAGUACUUGGAUGGGAGACCAACUAGGAAAGCUGGGCUGCUGCUGGCA